AUUGAACGCUGGCGGCAUGCUUUACACAUGCAAGUCGAACGGCAGCGCGGGCUUCGGCCUGGCUGCGAGUGGCGAACGGGUGAGUAAUGCAUCGGAACGUGCCCAGCAGUGGGGGAUAGCCCGGCGAAAGCCGGAUUAAUACCGCAUACGACCUGAGGGUGAAAGCGGGGGACCGAUAGGCCUCGUGCUAUUGGAGCGGCCGAUGUCGGAUUAGCUAGUUGGUGGGGUAAAGGCUUACCAAGGCGACGAUCCGUAGCUGGUCUGAGAGGACGACCAGCCACACUGGGACUGAGACACGGCCCAGACUCCUACGGGAAGCAGCAGUGGGGAAUUUUGGACAAUGGGGGCAACCCUGAUCCAGCCAUGCCGCGUGCGGGAAGAAGGCCUUCGGGUUGUAAACCGCUUUUGUUCGGGAAGAAAUCCUCUGGGCUAAUACCCCGGGGGGAUGACGGUACCGGAAGAAUAAGCACCGGCUAACUACGUG
RNAcentral lists this ribosomal RNA (484 nucleotides) under uncultured bacterium. RNAcentral's name for it is "partial 16S ribosomal RNA". It matches the Rfam family "Bacterial small subunit ribosomal RNA", at positions 28 to 507 of the family's 1533-position model. The record is from RNAcentral.